This 37-nucleotide non-coding RNA is filed under the name Methanocaldococcus lauensis. The record is from RNAcentral. Lineage: Archaea; Methanobacteriati; Methanobacteriota; Methanococci; Methanococcales; Methanocaldococcaceae.
GUUUGAAUAGGUAGUCCAUUAAAACAAGGAUGGAAAC